Molecule: ribosomal RNA, 253 nt
Filed under: uncultured bacterium
Lineage: Bacteria
Description: partial 16S ribosomal RNA
Rfam family: Bacterial small subunit ribosomal RNA
Source: RNAcentral
UACGUAGGUGACAAGCGUUGUCCGGAUUUACUGGGCGUAAAGAGCGCGCAGGCGGUCGAUCAAGUCGAGUGUGAAAGCCCCCGGCUCAACUGGGGAGGGUCAUUCGAUACUGAUCGACUCGAAGGCAGGAGAGGGUAGUGGAAUUCCCGGUGUAGUGGUGAAAUGCGUAGAUAUCGGGAGGAACACCUGUGGCGAAAGCGGCUCACUGGACCACAACUGACGCUGAGGCGCGAAAGCUAGGGGAGCAAACAGG